UACGUAGGGUGCAAGCGUUGUCCGGAAUUAUUGGGCGUAGAGAGCUCGUAGGCGGUUUGUCGCGUCUGCUGUGAAAACCCGAGGCUCAACCUCGGGCCUGCAGUGGGUACGGGCAGACUAGAGUGCGGUAGGGGAGAUUGGAAUUCCUGGUGUAGCGGUGGAAUGCGCAGAUAUCAGGAGGAACACCAAUGGCGAAGGCAGAUCUCUGGGCCGUAACUGACGCUGAGGAGCGAAAGCAUGGGGAGCGAACAGG
RNAcentral lists this ribosomal RNA (253 nucleotides) under uncultured bacterium. RNAcentral describes it as "partial 16S ribosomal RNA". It matches the Rfam family "Bacterial small subunit ribosomal RNA", at positions 524 to 776 of the family's 1533-position model. The record is from RNAcentral.